This 290-nucleotide ribosomal RNA is filed under the name uncultured bacterium. RNAcentral's name for it is "partial 16S ribosomal RNA". It matches the Rfam family "Bacterial small subunit ribosomal RNA", at positions 773 to 1060 of the family's 1533-position model. The record is from RNAcentral.
GUGGAUUAGAUACCCUGGUAGUCCACGCUGUAAACGAUGGGUACUAGGUGUUCGGGGUAUUGACCCCCUGAGUGCCGCAGCUAACGCAUUAAGUACCCCGCCUGGGGACUACGGCCGCAAGGUUAAAACUCAAAGGAAUUGACGGGGGCCCGCACAAGCGGUGGAGCAUGCUGUUCAAUUCGACGCAACGCGAAGAACCUUACCUGGGCUAGACAACGGCGGACCGCCUGGGAAACCAGGCUUUCCCUUCGGGGACUGCCGGUUCAGGUGUUGCACGGUUGUCGCCAGCU